GACGAACGCUGGCGGCGUGCUUAACACAUGCAAGUCGAACGGAAAGGCCCUGCUUUUGUGGGGUGCUCGAGUGGCGAACGGGUGAGUAACACGUGAGUAACCUGCCCUUGACUUUGGUAUAACUUCAGGAAACUGGGGCUAAUACCGGAUAGGAGCUCCUGCUGCAUGGUGGGGGUUGGAAAGUUUCGGCGGUCGGGGAUGGACUCGCGGCUUAUCAGCUUGUUGGUGGGGUAGUGGCUUACCAAGGCUUUGACGGGUAGCCGGCCUGAGAGGGUGACCGGCCACAUUGGGACUGAGGUACGGACCAGACUCCUACGGGAGGCAGCAGUGGGGAAUAUUGCACAAUGAGCGGAAGCCGGAUGCAGAAACGCCGCGUGCGGGAUGACGGCCUUCGGGUUGUAAACCGCUUUCGCCUGUGACGAAGCGUGAGUGACGGUAAUGGGUAAAGAAGCACCGGCUAACUACGUG
Molecule: ribosomal RNA, 468 nt
Filed under: uncultured bacterium
Lineage: Bacteria
Description: partial 16S ribosomal RNA
Rfam family: Bacterial small subunit ribosomal RNA
Source: RNAcentral